Molecule: ribosomal RNA, 639 nt
Filed under: Triticum aestivum (bread wheat)
Lineage: Eukaryota; Viridiplantae; Streptophyta; Magnoliopsida; Poales; Poaceae
Description: partial small subunit ribosomal RNA
Source: RNAcentral
AUGGCACUCAAGGCAGUCUCGCAGGAGGCCGCGCGGCACAAGAAGAGCGGCGGGAGCGGCGGCGGGGACAGACACCGGAGGAUCUGGUUCGAGCGCGACGUGCUCCUGGCCCUGCGCCACCCGCUGCUCCCCGCCCUCCGCUGCGUCCUCGCCACCGACGCCGUCGUCGGCUUCGCCAUCGGCCGCUGCAGCAGCGGCGACCUCAACUCCCUCCGACGCCGCCAGACCGAGAAGAUGUUCUCCGACUCCGUCAUACGGGACGCGGCCAAGAUCCUGGUGGCCUCGCGCUCCACCGCGCCUGACAGCAAGCUGAAGGUCGUCUACAAGAAGUACUCGAGCGAGAAGCUGGGAGGAGUCGCCCAUCCAGAUUACAUCAUGCUUGACUACUUGACAAGGACAAGAAGGAACAUGCCCAGGAGAAGAAGGAGCAAGCCCAGGAGAAAAAAACAAGUAGGAGAAGAAGGCCCUGGAUUGCUGUUGCUGGAGUGUUUACGGAAACAUGAUCUUCUCCCAUGUGACCAUUGGUGCUGCCGCCGCUGCUGUGCCAGUUGGAGGUGCUGCUGCUGCAUCUGGUGGAGCUGCAGCUGCCGCCCCAAAGGGCAAACCUUCAUCAGACACAACCCCAUAACAGGGCCUUAA